GCUCCUGUGGUCCAGUGGUUAGAGCGUCCGCCUAGGAUGCGGGAGGUCGUGGGCUCAAACCCCGGCCGAGUCA
This is a non-coding RNA of Potamilus streckersoni, 73 nucleotides long. Lineage: Eukaryota; Metazoa; Mollusca; Bivalvia; Unionida; Unionidae. The record is from the annotation of a GenBank genome assembly.